RNAcentral lists this unclassified non-coding RNA (324 nucleotides) under soil metagenome. Its description in RNAcentral is "partial contains 5.8S ribosomal RNA, internal transcribed spacer 2, and large subunit ribosomal RNA". The stretch from base 1 to 120 matches the Rfam family "5.8S ribosomal RNA", at positions 35 to 154 of the family's 154-position model. The record is from RNAcentral.
GAUGAAGAACGCAGCGAAAUGCGAUAAGUAGUGUGAAUUGCAGAAUUCAGUGAAUCAUCGAAUCUUUGAACGCACAUUGCGCCCCUUGGUAUUCCAUGGGGCAUGCCUGUUCGAGCGUCAUUUGUACCUUCAAGCUUUGCUUGGUGUUGGGUGUUUGUCCCUCGGGACUCGCCUUAAAGUCAUUGGCAGCCAGUGUUUUGGUUUUGAAGCGCAGCACAAGUCGCGAUUCAAGGCUAUCCGCCCGCUUCCACAAGCCUUUUUCACUUUUGACCUCGUAUCAGGUAGGGAUACCCGCUGAACUUAAGCAUAUCAAUAAGCGGAGGA